CUUUUGUGCACAGUUUGGUU
RNAcentral lists this non-coding RNA (20 nucleotides) under Rattus norvegicus (Norway rat). The record is from RNAcentral. Lineage: Eukaryota; Metazoa; Chordata; Mammalia; Rodentia; Muridae.